UACGGAAGGCAGCAGUGGGGAAUAUUGCACAAAUGGGCGCAAGCCUGAUGCAGCCAUGCCGCGUGUAUGAAGAAGGCCUUCGGGUUGUAAAGUACUUUCAGUCGUGAGGAAGGUGUUAAGGUUAAUAACCUUAGCAAUUGACGUUAGCGACAGAAGAAGCACCGGCUAACUCCGUGCCAGCAGCCGCGGUAAUACGGAGGGUGCGAGCGUUAAUCGGAAUUACUGGGCGUAAAGGGCACGCAGGCGGUUAAUUAAGUUGGAUGUGAAAUCCCCGGGCUUAACCUGGGAAUGGCAUUCAAGACUGGUUAGCUAGAGUCUUGUAGAGGGGGUAGAAUUCCAUGUGUAGCGGUGAAAUGCGUAGAAAUGUGGAGGAAUACCGGUGGCGAAGGCGGCCCCUGGACAAAGACUGACGCUCAUGUGCGAAAGCGUGGGGAGCAAACAGGGAUUAGAUACC
Molecule: ribosomal RNA, 454 nt
Filed under: uncultured bacterium
Lineage: Bacteria
Description: bacterial SSU rRNA
Rfam family: Bacterial small subunit ribosomal RNA
Source: RNAcentral